GACGAACCACACGAACGUUAUUCGGAAUUACUGGGCUUAAAGGGUGCGUAGGCGGCGCAGAAAGUUGGGUGUGAAAUCCCUCGGCUCAACCGAGGAACUGCGCCCAAAACUACUGUGCUUGAGGAAGAUAGAGGUAAGCGGAACUUACGGUGGAGCGGUGAAAUGCGUUGAUAUCGUAAGGAACACCUGUGGCGAAAGCGGCUUACUGGGUCUUUUCUGACGCUGAUGCACGAAAGCCAGGGGAGCAAAC
RNAcentral lists this ribosomal RNA (250 nucleotides) under uncultured bacterium. RNAcentral describes it as "partial 16S ribosomal RNA". It matches the Rfam family "Bacterial small subunit ribosomal RNA", at positions 524 to 773 of the family's 1533-position model. The record is from RNAcentral.